RNAcentral lists this transfer RNA (68 nucleotides) under Haloterrigena gelatinilytica. RNAcentral describes it as "tRNA-Ala". It matches the Rfam family "tRNA". From Rfam's summary of the family: Transfer RNA (tRNA) molecules are approximately 80 nucleotides in length. Their secondary structure includes four short double-helical elements and three loops (D, anti-codon, and T loops). Lineage: Archaea; Methanobacteriati; Methanobacteriota; Halobacteria; Halobacteriales; Natrialbaceae. The record is from RNAcentral.
GGGCCCAUAGCUCAGUGGUAGAGUGCCUCCUUUGCAAGGAGGAUGCCCAGGGUUCGAAUGUGGGUCCA